This 2552-nucleotide long non-coding RNA is filed under the name Pandoravirus neocaledonia. RNAcentral describes it as "hypothetical ncRNA". The record is from RNAcentral.
CAGCGGCAGCCCGGGCAGCGGCGGGAAUGGGAACGCCAUCGCGGCCCCCGCCACCAAGGCGCGCGGCGCGCGUUGCUGCUCGGCGGCGUAGAGUCUGGCACCUUCAGCGGCGCACUCUCGGCACACAACACCGGCCGACCGCUCCUGGCCUUGGAUAAAUGCCGCAUAGAAUUCGUUCUCGACCGGAUUCUCGGACCACGCGUCGAUGAGGCCCAGCAGGCGUUCGACACCGUAGGCAUUGACCAGGCCGGCGUCGUCCAACACCGUGCGGACAAUGUCGUCGACGCCAGGUGCGUUCCGCGGUGUCGGUGCCUCUUCGACUGAUAUGCGCCGUCGUCGUGCCGCGGGCUCGGCCGUCGGACUAACAAUGGCUCUCUGCUCUUGGCGUUGACGGGUGCCGAGCGCUGCUUCGCGACGAUAGUUUUCAAUCAUGUCGAGGACAUAGUCGCGAUAGCCUUGGGCGUCGCCGCCGGCAGCCUCCCAGGCGUUCCAGUUGGCGAUCAGAUAGUCGAGCACGUCCGAGGGAAUGGCGCGCGUAGGACAGAUGAGACACACGUCCGGUGGAGGCACGAUGGCAACCGGACCCGCCGUGGUGGGCACCUCGGGCAGUACAUCGAUCGGCUGGCGCGCCAGCGGAUUGACGCCGCUGGCCAGCGUGGCCGAGGCGAUGUCGGCCGGCGUCGGGUACCGGGCGGCCUCUUGCGGCGUCAUCGCGGCGGCCGCCAAGAGGCCGGCGUCCAAGGCAUCGCGUCGACGUUUGGCCGAAACCGCGCGCGGUCCCUGUUCGGUUGCGGGCGGUGCGCGUGCGACGGGCAGGGGCGUGGGCGGCGCCUCAAAGACGCUAAAGCCGGCCGUCGACGGCCGAUAUGCGGGCGAAGGCGCCACGCGUGUCGGCGAGGGUUGUUGUUGUGGAGGGGGAACGGGUUGGACGGCGGCCGGCGGGGACGGGCCGACGAUGGCGGCCACGGGCGAAAGAGAGGCCACGAGGGGCGCCUCGGCGAUGGCCGCCUGGUUGGGGCCGACCACCACCGUCGACAGCGCCACCGCGUUGAGAUCUUGGCGGGCGCGCGCGCACGGGUCGCUCGCGGAGCCCCACGCCGCAGCCGACUCCCACGGACGCCCCGUCGGAUCAUAGUCGCGCUCCCAGUUGGCCACCAAGGCCUCGUCCGUGUCGCCGGCGAUCGGCAACAGGCCCACCAGGCGGUCGGCCACGGCGUCGGCCAACGAGGGGGCGUCGGCCGGGGCGCCCGGCUCGCCGGCCAGGGGCACGUCGGCCGGGAUGGCAAAGUAGACGCGCGGAUCGAGCCACCACCAGAAUUCGAGCAGCGGCGUGCCCUCGGCGGCGAUGGUCAGCUGGUAGUAGGGCCACGGCGCCAGGGGCACUUCGGACGUGGCCUGUUCGGGCGUGGCGGCAAAGCUGCCGUUGAGCCGAAAGAGGUAUUCGGCGACGGCGGCCGGCAGGGCGCGUAGGUAGUAGGCAUCGGUCGUCUCACCGGGCGCGGGCGUCGGCAGCGGCCGUUCAAGAGCCAAGACAGAGGCGAGGGCGCGCGCCAGGCCUUGGGGCGACUGAAACGGGUCCGGCAAACCGUUGGCGGCCGCCCACUCGCUCAGCUGGGGGCCGAUCGAGGCGGCGAAAUCGGUCUGGGCGAGGAACAUGUAGACGGCAAAGGCCACGAGGUUGCCUCCGGGACCCUGGAAUUGCGGCACGCCGAUCGCGGCCGCGGCCGCGCGCUGCUCGUCGGCGCGCGCACGGGCCUCUUGCACGGCGCGCUCGUAAUAGUACAUGACCGGCCGAAUCGACGCCGGAUCGAUGCCGACAUUGUCGGCCGAGAGCGCGUCGCACACGAAAAAGAGCAUCUCGGUGGGACCCAACGAGGCAAAGUCGGCGAGGCCGCGGUCGACCACGGCCUCUUCGAGCGCCGUGUAGGGCGGCGGCGACGCGGUAGGAGCCUCCAUCAGAAUAGUAGGGCGAAAAACGCACAAAAGAAGAGCGCACGCGCCGGUUCGGUCUGGUCGAGUUUGGGCCUCUUUUUUUUUGCCCCGUUCAAUGUAUGUGCUCGCCUCUCUGUAUGGGCUGGCAAGAGGAGGCCCUGUCGCCAAGAAAGGCUCGGCACAGAUAUGCUAUGGAGCCAAAAAGGAAAAAGGAAAGGACAGGGAAAACAAAGAGGCGAAGAGGCAAAGGCGCAAGGAUGCGAGCGAAUGAGAUGGGCGCGGUCGAACGGGCUGCGCGUGUGGGCACAGGGCAACGUGCGCUCGGUGGCCUGCCUUUUCCUUUUGGCGGUGCCUGUGUUUCGUCGCCUCGGUCGCUCUCGGCCUGCCGACCGCGCCGCUCGCGCUCGCCCGUUGGCGCGGGGCCGGACGAUUUGUGUCGACCUACUGCCAUCACGCCAAUCCUAUUGGGCCACGUUGCGACUCCUGGUUUGUGCGCCUUUUCUUUUUUUCUUCCUCCUCUCUGCUCCCGACCGAAAGGCGGCCUUUUUUGUGCUCGGCCCUUUCCGCUGCCGCCCACCCAAGAUGCCUCAACAAGCCUCGAAAAAGAACCCAAGACGGGA